Molecule: long non-coding RNA, 1692 nt
Filed under: Numida meleagris (helmeted guineafowl)
Lineage: Eukaryota; Metazoa; Chordata; Aves; Galliformes; Numididae
Description: lncRNA (ENSNMEG00000023184.1)
Source: RNAcentral
AUGCUAAGAGGCUGUGCUAAGGGGCCGUCCUUCCCCGCCAUUUCCCGGCUGCCGCCGCUCGCGGCCACUCGCCGCCGUUCCUCGCCGUUCCUCGCCGUUCCUCGCCGGUCCUCGCCGGUCCUCCGCCGCUCCCCGCCAUUCCCCAUUGCUUGCCGCUGUCCCCCGCCGUCCCCUGCUGUUCCCCGCUGUUUCCCCGCUGCCGUCGCUCGCCUCCACUCGCCGCCAUCCCCCGUCGUCCCCCAUCGUUCCCCGCCGCUCGCCGCCGUCCCCUGUCGUCCCCCGCCAUCCUCCGUCGCUCCCCGCCGUCUCCCGUUGUCCCCCGCCGUCCUCCGCCGCUCCCCGCCGUUCCCCGUUGCUCGCCGCCGUUCCCCGUCGUUCCCCGCCGUCCCCUGCCGCUCGCCGCCGUCCCCCGCCGUUCCCCUCUGUCCCCCGUCGUCCCCUGCUGCUCGCCGCCGUCCCCCGUCGUCUCCCGUCGUCCCCCGUCGUUCCCUGCCGUCCUCCAUCGUUCCCCGCCGUUCACCGCCGUCCCCAGCCGUCCCCCGCCGCCGCCUUCCCUUGCCGUCCCCCGCCGUCCCCCAUCAUCCCCCGCCGCCGUCGUUCCCCCAUCAGGUUGCAGUUGGGCUUCAUCAUGUUCAAGGUCUUUUCCAGCCUGACCUAUUCUCUCGCCCUAUGGCCCCUUCUCCAUCGUGACAGUUUUCCUUCUGUCCUUCUUCAGCGAGGCCAUCCCCAGCUCUGCAGGUGGCCUCCUUAGGCUACACAACUUCUUGCGUGGAACUAAUUUACACUCUGCCUUACUUUAGAACUUCCUGCACCCCCAGUCUCCUGCUCACACAGCCUCAUACUCCUUGAUCUCUCUGCCUCCUUCUUGAGCUCAGUCAGCAUGCUGAGAUCACCCACUUGCCCACACCUCUCGCAGGCGGCAUCUUUCCCAUUCUGUGGGGGCGGCAGCCGCCUUACACGCUCCCUGCAGCCAGGCACCUGAACAGCUGCACUGCUGGGCUGGCGCUUGCUCUGCGUAGCCACCCUCCUUUCGCCAACAGCUUCCUGCCUCCUGGACACCAUGGCUAGCUUUGCUGUCCGGGAGGCAGCUGACACCUCAGCCGCGCUCCCUGCUCAGGACCGGCGCUUCGUCCUCUCCGCUUGCCCUGCCCGCGCCAACUGAGGAGCAAGGCGAUGAGCGAACAGGCGGCCGCGCCCCAUAGGGGCUGCUUGUGGAACUGCGGGCUGUGACGCUGCUGCUGCUUGUGCCACCCGGGACACGUCCGAGCCGCUGCUGUUGCCGAACAGAAGGGGGAUGGCGCGCGGCAACGCCCUGAUGACGCCGAGUUCCUCUUGCCCUGCUGACGUCAUCGCUUCAGCCCUGAUGAAAGACAAAAGGGUCUUGCUGCUGCUUGCUCCUAGUUCUUAUGGUCUGCGGUUCUUGCGUUUUCCUUGGAGCUUUCUACAGAAUGUCAUCUCAGUGGAGCAGUGUCCUCCUUCUUCUAUUGACAUAUAUACAUGUAUAUACGUAUAUAGCCUUGAUCUUUCCAUUGCCCCCAAGGAACUAUGCACAGAGAAAUUCAGGAAGGAAUUCUGCCUCUAAAAACAAACAAACAAACAAACAAACAAGCAAACAGAGUCUUCCUAUGUUGCCCAGAGGAAGGUGCAGAACUUCUAGGACACAGUGCAUUCAGAGGUGAUUCCUUCCACUCA